RNAcentral lists this ribosomal RNA (467 nucleotides) under uncultured bacterium. RNAcentral's name for it is "partial 16S ribosomal RNA". It matches the Rfam family "Bacterial small subunit ribosomal RNA", at positions 28 to 507 of the family's 1533-position model. The record is from RNAcentral.
GAUGAACGCUGGCGGCGUGCUUAACACAUGCAAGUCGAACGGAAAGGCUCCUGCUUGCAGGGGUACUCGAGUGGCGAACGGGUGAGUAACACGUGGGUGAUCUGCCCUGCACUUCGGGAUAAGCCUGGGAAACUGGGGCUAAUACCGGAUAGGACCACAUUUUGCAUGGUGUGGUGGGGAGUUUUUCGGGGUGGGAGGAGCUCGCGGCCUAUCAGCAUGUUGGUGGGGUAAUGGCGUACCACCGCGUCGACGGGGGGUGGGCGUGAGAGGGGGUACGCCGACACUGUGGGUGUGAGACGGCCCACAGUCCUACGGGGGGGAGCAGUGGGGAAAAUUGUACAAUGGGGGCGAGCGUGAGGCAGAGAAGCGGCGUGGGGGAGGACGGCCCUUGGGGUGUAAACUCCUUUUGCGAGUGACGAGGCGCUUUUGUGACGGUAACUGGUGAAGAAGCACCGGCUAACUACGUG